UUCACGGUGUGUCUCUCACCGGUACUCCAGUCGUCACUUAAGUCGGACGGAAGGGGGCGCCUGUCCCCGUCGUCCUCUCUUUUGGCCGCUUCGAUGCACCGAUCAAGGGCAGCACAGCUUGGGGAUCCGAAGUCGGGUGAGCGGCAAAUCCAUUACCUCCUCCUUCCUCUUUUCCAUUGGCUUGAUCUUGCAGCGAAAACUUCCUUCCUUUCGGCGUACUGCUGAUUACUCUCGGUCAGAUGUGAUCUUUUCUUCCUUCUUUUUUUCCUGCCCCUGUCUCUGCCAUGAAUUGGAUAAAGAAAAGACGGCCACUUGUUGAAUGGAAUUAGUUUAAACAUGGCAGCACCCAAAAUAAUUGGAUCUGUGGUUGCGUUCUUUGCAUUUGCAUAUGUAUGCGACACUUGAGUUGCUGACAGCAAGAUUUUUGGUGACAGAACACCAUAAACUGUAGCUGAUAAUGAAUGGUGGGAAGCCACCGACGAGAAGUUUCAGGCCUGGCCUCGUACUGCAGGGCCACCAGUAGUGAUGAAUCCUAUAACCUGCCAAAACUUCAUUGUAAGAUCAACUGAAUCUUAAGGUAAAAGGCAUCGUUUGGUGCAACUUUUAUGUGCUAGUUGUUUCUUGUUUAAUAAAUAAGGUUUUGGUUUUGUUGUUGAUCCUCAGGUAUGGAUUUCAUCUUAGGACCUCUUUUGUGACUGUUCUGGUGAUAUUGUGUUGGAAGAAAGUACUAUAUCUGCUCAUGAUCAUCUUGAUUUGCCCAAGUGUUUUUUAUUCACAUUUUGAUUGCAGUGAUAAUGAUUAAUAAGCAGAGAUUGAUUUUACCUCAUUAUGUUUCUCAUGGAUGUUGACAUUAUUCUGACAGUUUGAAUAGGAAGUCAAUAAUUAGUAAACAGAUAUGUAUGUUUGACCUCCAAAUUCCUCAUGUAUCUUUUGUUGUGUAUCAAUCUCAUGGGUAUUAAUGUUGCUUGAUGUCAAGGACAUAAACAAUAGGAAGCACAUUUAGCAUGUGCCCUUGUGGCUUCACUGCCAAAGUGUUUCCAAGCUAACAAUCCAUUGAAUUGGUCACCAUCUUAUUCUUUGUAAGAAAGUUGUCAGCUGGAUGGGAACAGGGAAGACAAUAAAUAACUAGAAUUCUAACAGGAGUCUUCCUUGCCUCCCUAACUGAGUUCCCAUGGCCGCUUGCUCCAGCAGAUGACUGCUCGCUAAUGGCUCCCCCAGCAACCAGCUGUUUCCCGGUCCUGCUUAAGCCGCAGCUCUUCUCAGGUUCGUAUGUACUCGUGGUUGUAUGAGUUGCAUCAUCCUUCAAACUGCUAUAGAUUUCGUCAGUGGAAGUUGCGAGGUUGCAUCAGUUUUACAUGUUGUAGUAGCCUGUGCAAUGCUUCGAACACCACCGAAGAAUUUGCAGCUGUUCGACCUGGUACGAUGAUGGUGUUGCUUGACGAGGCGAUCUAAGUAAAAUCGUAGUGAUGGAAUCUUAUCAUAAGUAGAUUCUUUUCUAUUAACUGAUAACUACUCAGAUUUAUAAUAUAUUUUACUUAAUUAAAUAGAAUCAUCUAAUCUAAUGAUACAAUGCAUACUGGGUCGGAGAAGUACCGGACUCCUGACCCUGAAACCGGUGUCUUCGUCCCCGAUGAGCACAACGGUGGCAACCACAGCAAGAAUGAUCUCCGUAACACCCUGCAGCACACUGCUGGCGAUUGUUCAUUGGUGUUGGAGCAGACUACCUGGAUCCAGCAGCUCGAGGAAGUUGACAAGCCUCUCCCAAACCUGGAGGAGAAAUGAAGUUGGGCAGAGGUUUCAGUAUGAUGUUUUAGCUCUCACCUUCAUGGUUGUCUUGAGUUGUCUUGGUAGUAGCAGUUUGCAGGUUGCAUGAUUGCUAAGACUUCUCUUUUGGUUCGAACCUGCUCGACAAACAAGACAAAUAGUUCUGCCACUGCAA
Molecule: long non-coding RNA, 1939 nt
Organism: Musa acuminata AAA Group (dessert banana)
Lineage: Eukaryota; Viridiplantae; Streptophyta; Magnoliopsida; Zingiberales; Musaceae
Exons: 5
Source: RefSeq, a predicted model, not a curated record